Molecule: unclassified non-coding RNA, 238 nt
Filed under: Hevea brasiliensis (rubber tree)
Lineage: Eukaryota; Viridiplantae; Streptophyta; Magnoliopsida; Malpighiales; Euphorbiaceae
Source: RNAcentral
GUAAUUUUCAUUACUUAAAGCAAUAUUUCGCCUAAUCUCAACAUGCAAAUCAUGAAUAUAUUGAGCAAAAAAUUCAGCAAGUUGUGAAAUAUGAAUAUGAGGCAGAAAAGAAACAAGGUCAACUAGGAUAUGAGGAGAAUAGCCAUGAACAAUCUUAAAAGAGCUUUUAUCUGUGGAAUGAUUUACUGAAUUGUUAUAGAUAAACUCUGCAAUUGAAAGAACCAAAUCCCAAUUACCU